RNAcentral lists this ribosomal RNA (622 nucleotides) under uncultured archaeon. RNAcentral's name for it is "bacterial SSU rRNA". It matches the Rfam family "Archaeal small subunit ribosomal RNA", at positions 147 to 774 of the family's 1478-position model. The record is from RNAcentral.
UAAUACUCCAUAGAUUAGAGACACUGGAAUGUUCUGUAGUCGAAAGUUCUGGCGCCUUAGGAUGGAUCUGCGGUCGAUUAGGUUGUUGUUGGGGUAACGGCCCAACAAGCCUGUAAUCGAUACGGGUUGUGGGAGCAAGAGCCCGGAGAUGGAAUCUGAGACACGAUUCCAGGCCCUACGGGGCGCAGCAGGCGCGAAAACUUUACAAUGCAGGAAACUGUGAUAAGGGAACUCCGAGUGCCCGUAUACGCGGGCUGUCCAGGUGUUUAAAAAUCAUCUGAAGAAAGGGCCGGGCAAGACCGGUGCCAGCCGCCGCGGUAAUACCGGCGGCUCGAGUGGUGGCCACUAUUAUUGGGCUUAAAGCGUCCGUAGCUGGACCGAUAAGACUCUUGGGAAAUCCGCCGGCUCAACCGGCGGGCGUCUAAGGGAUACUGUUAGUCUAGGGACCGGGAGAGGUGAGAAGUACUCCGGGGGUAGGAGUGAAAUCCUGUAAUCCCCGGGGGACCACCGAUGGCGAAGGCAUCUCACCAGAACGGCUCCGACAGUGAGGGACGAAAGCUGGGGGAGCGAACCGGAUUAGAUACCCGGGUAGUCCCAGCCGUAAACUAUGCGCGUUAGGUGU